CCCUAUGGGGUGCAGCUCGACAUCUUUUCCGUCAAUCUGCUGGUAGUGGGGCAGGACGGUAGGGGGUGUCACGUUCUGCCCAUUCACGAAGGAUGGAGUCGUCCAGACGACCUUCUUGCCCUGGGCUAACAGGGACCGCACAACUCCAACGCCCUCGAUGGUGGCGUCGUAAUCUACGACGAGAACCGUCGUCCCCGUGACGGCACCCUGAAGGACGUCGAGGGUAUGGAACACAUGGUCGCUCGGCAUUCCAGGAACAUCCCCACUGAUGAUGGCCGACCCUGCGGCAAUAAUUGCGACGUCCGGAUGCUCCGCGGUGAUGAGCUCGGCCGUCGCCUCAGUUCCCGUCCGAACAUCCACAUGCUGCACGUCCAUCUCACGCAUGAGGAACCGGGCAACACCGGAGACCUCGCGUCUGCCGGGGAGC
Molecule: ribosomal RNA, 427 nt
Filed under: uncultured prokaryote
Description: partial 16S ribosomal RNA
Source: RNAcentral